Molecule: transfer RNA, 74 nt
Filed under: Micromonospora sediminicola
Lineage: Bacteria; Bacillati; Actinomycetota; Actinomycetes; Micromonosporales; Micromonosporaceae
Also listed under: 3 other names
Description: tRNA_Met_CAT
Source: RNAcentral
GCCGACGUAGCUCAGAUGGCCAGAGCGCUCCGCUCAUGACGGAGAGGCCCCCGGUUCGAGGCCGGGCGUCGGCA